AUUGAACGCUGGCGGCAGGCCUAACACAUGCAAGUCGAGCGGAUGAAGGGAGCUUGCUCCUGGAUUCAGCGGCGGACGGGUGAGUAAUGCCUAGGAAUCUGCCUGGUAGUGGGGGAUAACGUCCGGAAACGGGCGCUAAUACCGCAUACGUCCUGAUGGAGAAAGUGGGGGAUCUUCGGACCUCACGCUAUCAGAUGAGCCUAGGUCGGAUUAGCUAGUUGGUGGGGUAAAGGCCUACCAAGGCGACGAUCCGUAACUGGUCUGAGAGGAUGAUCAGUCACACUGGAACUGAGACACGGUCCAGACUCCUACGGGAGGCAGCAGUGGGGAAUAUUGGGCAAUGGGCGAAAGCCUGAUCCAGCCAUGCCGCGUGUGUGAAGAAGGUCUUCGGAUUGUAAAGCACUUUAAGUUGGGAGGAAGGGCAGUAAGUUAAUACCUUGCUGUUUUGACGUUACCAACAGAAUAAGCACCGGCUAACUUCGUG
RNAcentral lists this ribosomal RNA (484 nucleotides) under uncultured bacterium. RNAcentral's name for it is "partial 16S ribosomal RNA". It matches the Rfam family "Bacterial small subunit ribosomal RNA", at positions 30 to 507 of the family's 1533-position model. The record is from RNAcentral.